AGCAUACAACCGAUUUCCAGUCAUAUGUACCAAUUUCUGUACAGACUUAUUUUUUAAAUAGCCUGUUAUUUAUCACAGUUUUGCCAAAGCGAUAAUAAUAUGAAAUUGUUUUUAAUGUUACUGGAUUUGCAUAUAUUUGGGCAUAAGUAUCACUAACUCAGUCCACUGUGCUUGUUAAAAGAUCUUAAUUUCAAAUAAUAGAUGUGUUUUAAAGCACCGUAUCAAGGAAUAUGCUUCCCAACAGAGGGAAAUGCUUUUUAUUAGCUCUUGAAACCAUGGAAUCUGUUGGUGUGAGGUCCUCUGUAUGCCAGUAGGCCAUGUUUCAGAAAAAAACAAGUAUAACUGAAAGGAGUCUCAGAAAGUCCACAUUUGUAUAGUGUUACAUGGAAGCUGAAAUACUUUGGAAGCAGUUCUUGGUGAUGUUCAGAAUUUGCAUCUUGUAUGGAUUACUGCUGAGUGGAUCUAAAAUUUGGCUUUGAAUUGAGGAAAAAAAUCCUAAAAUGAGAGAUCAGUCUUUGAACAAGUAGUUUUCUCCUUAGUGAUUCUGUAGGAGCAUUGAUGGCUCAGGCUGCAGUCCCUCCCAGGUCACUUUAACACAACAUGAAUCCAUUAUCGUCUCAGAGAGGAAAGUCUUACUCUUCCUGGCCCACCCCUACUUCCACUCAUUUUCUGGUCUUAGGAUAUGGGUGUUUAUGAAGAGGGCUAGCUCAGGGAACCAUUCCAGCUGAAAUUUAACCAAACCAAAAACCAGCUACUUCAGUAAUUGCAGCCUUGCUUCCAAAGCCUGCUUAUUAACUGAGUGGAACCACCCAUACUGUCUCAUUUAGCUUCUAGCCUGGAAUUCGAACAAAAUACCCAGAGUAAUUCUGUUUGUUAAUCCAGAGUGGCACCAUUAUUAUCAUGAGAUAAAAACCGAAAAAAAUAAAUCUGUAUAGCUUUACUAGUUUAAAAUUAUUGAUAAUAUCUGCAUUUAUUGAAAAGGUGGGAUAUAAUGGUAUGGUUUUGCAGGGCUGAUCUGAAGUAAAGUAGUACAGAAUCCUGGACUCUUAAACCUGCAGAUGAAAAGCUAUUACAGAAGACUGUUGAACAGUUCUGUCCUGUUUCUCAGGCCUAUCAAUGUCUAAUUAUUCCUACAGGAAGUCUCUACUUUCCAGUAAAACUGCUUAAAUUUAACACACUUUACCAGAGAUGCCGUUGUGUGAGAUGCUAUUGAGACUGCAUCUGGAUUAUUACAUAGCAGACUCUUCCUAUUCAAAAAAAGUCAAUUCAAGCUGACAGAGGUGCAGAAAAGGGCUCUGCCAAAAAGCAAGAAGAUAAGAAAUUAUUGCUCUGGAAAGACAUUCUCUUGAAAGUAUCAUUGAGGUGGUUUAAGAAAUUAUUACAACCAUGUUUGCUGCCUUGUUAGAUUAUACAACUCUUUCAGCUGAGUCAGUGGAAAGGAUAGUGUCAUCAUCUACCUCUACACAAGUCAUCCACUUAACCUAAAUUCCCAGGUCCAGCAGCUGUUGGCCUGUUAAUUUUCAGCUUUGUAAGAGAAGUUCACAAUCAACAGGCUGGUUUUGAUGACUCUCCUCCACCAUCCCCAGGAUCUUUGUAUAAUAUUAUUUCAUUCCAA
Molecule: long non-coding RNA, 1615 nt
Organism: Pezoporus occidentalis (night parrot)
Lineage: Eukaryota; Metazoa; Chordata; Aves; Psittaciformes; Psittacidae
Exons: 3
Source: RefSeq, a predicted model, not a curated record